AUGGAGCUUCAGGUUAAUAGGUUCAUAAGGGCAAAUUCCAAGUCAGUCCAGGGCCUUCUCUUUGAUCUUAAAAUUCAGCAAGAAGGUUUUGGGCAUAAUAUGCCCAAAAAUGAAAAUGAAAAUGAAGGAAUGCCUUCAAACCAAGGAAAGAUGGAAAAUGAAGAACAGCCACAGGACGAGGGAAAGCCAGAAGUAGCUUGUACUCUAGAAGACAAGAAGUUAGAAAAUGAGGGAAAGACAGAAAACAAGGGCAAGACAGGAGAUGAAGAAAUGUUAAAGGAUAAAGAAAAGCCAUAGAGUGAGGAAAAGGCAAAAGAAGAAGGAAAGUCAGAGAAGGAGGGAGAGGCAGGGAUGGAGGGAGGAUCAGAGAGAGAGAGAGAAAACCAGAGAGAGAGGGAGAGCCAGAGUGUCAAACAAGGGCUGCAGGGAAGCGCCCAGCGGAGGAUGGUGUACCCAGGAAAGCCAAAAGAAAAACAAAUAAGAGGCUGGCUCAUUACCUCAAGGAGUAUAAAGAGGCCAUACAGGAUAUGAAUUUAAGCAAUGAGGACAUGAUAAGAGAAUUUGACAAUAUGGCUAAGGUGGAGGAUGAGAAGAGAAAAAAGCAAACAGAAAUUGGGGGCGUAUUUGUGGAUGCAAAGAAAUUUACAGAACCCCUUCUACCCUAGAGGUCCAAGGGAGUUCAGGGGUGGCUGCAGGGCCCCACGAAGGGACACUGAAGACAUUCCUUAUGUGUAGUGUCCCUGGCAGGCAUAUACCAGACCAUGUGCUUUAACCUUAUGGUAAUACUUUAGGCAUCCCUCCUGUUACUAGCAGCCUUUUGACCCAAAUGCAACAUGGUGUUCUCAGUAGCAAAUUUUCACCUAUUACAUGGAAAAAUGUUUAUGGUGCAUUGUAAAAUUAAAAAACACAACUUGCAGAACCAAAAAAAAAAAA
This is an RNA transcript of Cebus imitator (Panamanian white-faced capuchin), 933 nucleotides long. It is a transcript of the gene named transcription elongation factor A protein-like 4, with no coding region annotated. The record is from RefSeq and is a predicted model, not a curated record. NCBI's taxonomy places the organism in Eukaryota, Metazoa, Chordata, Mammalia, Primates, Cebidae. The transcript is spliced from 3 exons.